UACGUAGGGAGCAAGCGUUGUCCGGAAUUACUGGGCGUAAAGGGUGCGUAGGUGGCCAUGUAAGUUAGGUGUGAAAGACCGGGGCUUAACCCCGGGGCGGCACUUAAAACUGUGUGGCUUGAGUACAGGAGAGGGAAGUGGAAUUCCUAGUGUAGCGGUGAAAUGCGUAGAUAUUAGGAGGAACACCAGUGGCGAAGGCGACUUUCUGGACUGUAACUGACACUGAGGCACGAAAGCGUGGGGAGCAAACA
This 251-nucleotide ribosomal RNA is filed under the name uncultured bacterium. Its description in RNAcentral is "partial 16S ribosomal RNA". It matches the Rfam family "Bacterial small subunit ribosomal RNA", at positions 524 to 774 of the family's 1533-position model. The record is from RNAcentral.